AACUUACCUAUAACGUUGCUUCGGCGGGAACAGACGGCCCCGUAAAACGGGCCGCCCCCGCCAGAGGACCCCUAACUCUGUUUUUAUAAUGUUUUUCUGAGUAAACAAGCAAAUAAAUCAAAACUUUCAACAACGGAUCUCUUGGCUCUGGCAUCGAUGAAGAACGCAGCGAAAUGCGAUAAGUAAUGUGAAUUGCAGAAUUCAGUGAAUCAUCGAAUCUUUGAACGCACAUUGCGCCCGCCAGUAUUCUGGCGGGCAUGCCUGUUCGAGCGUCAUUACAACCCUCAGGCCUCCGGGCCUGGCGUUGGGGAUCGGCGGAGCCCCUCCCGGGGCGCGCGGCCACGCCGUAAAACACCCAACUUCUGAA
This 367-nucleotide unclassified non-coding RNA is filed under the name Fusarium neocosmosporiellum. RNAcentral describes it as "sequence contains 18S rRNA gene, ITS1, 5.8S rRNA gene, ITS2, 28S rRNA gene". The stretch from base 122 to 275 matches the Rfam family "5.8S ribosomal RNA". The record is from RNAcentral. Lineage: Eukaryota; Fungi; Ascomycota; Sordariomycetes; Hypocreales; Nectriaceae.